Molecule: ribosomal RNA, 400 nt
Filed under: uncultured bacterium
Lineage: Bacteria
Description: bacterial SSU rRNA
Rfam family: Bacterial small subunit ribosomal RNA
Source: RNAcentral
GAAUAUUGGACAAUGGGCGCAAGCCUGAUCCAGCAAUGCCGCGUGAGUGAAGAAGGCCUUAGGGUUGUAAAGCUCUUUCGCCCGCGACGAUGAUGACGGUAGCGGGAGAAGAAGCCCCGGCUAAUUCCGGGCCAGCAGCCGCGGUCAUACGGAAGGGGCUAGCGUUGUUCGGAUGCACUGGGCGUAAAGCGCGCGUAGGCAGCCUUGCAAGUGCGGCGUGAAAGUCCUGGGCUCAACCUGGGGACGGCGCUGCGGACUGCUUGGCUGGAGUCCGGAAGAGGGUGGUGGAAUUCCGAGUGUAGAGGUGAAAUUCGUAGAUAUUCGGAGGAACACCGGUGGCGAAGGCGGCCACCUGGUCCGGUACUGACGCUGAAGCGCGAAAGCGUGGGGAGCAAACAGG